Molecule: long non-coding RNA, 1003 nt
Filed under: Cricetulus griseus (Chinese hamster)
Lineage: Eukaryota; Metazoa; Chordata; Mammalia; Rodentia; Cricetidae
Description: lncRNA (ENSCGRG00015039076.1)
Source: RNAcentral
CAUCGGGCCGUGCUGCGCCCUGCAGCCCCGCUCCCGCCCCGCGGAGCACGGGCCUCCGACCUAGAAUUGUAUUCGCGGUGUAUUAUUGACGAGGUGCUUUCCCGGGACGAGGGUGAAAAGGUCUCGAGCACCCGGGACUUGCCCUGCCGCGGAGCUGAAGGGGCCACGCUGGCCGCUCCGGGCCGAUUGGCGUCGUCCUCCUGCCUCUGUAAAGCAGAUCGUCUCCGCCGUGCUGGCUUUGCAUAAGGCGGCAGCAUUGGCUUAGUUAGCGAGAUCGGAGGAGCUAAGGCCGCGAAAAAUAAGGGGCUGGAAUCAGGCUCCUCCCACAGCCUAGGACUACUUUUCGUGGCUCUCAAAUGGCGAGCGAAUGAAUCCCAGCCGAAAGGGAAACAGUCACGAGACGGUGACCCCUUCCCUGCUCUACCUAGGCUCGACCAAGGCUCCUGACCUGCUCACAACUUUGCGCAACAAAAAUGAAUUCUUGCUCUCCUAGGUCAUCAGCCUCGUGUAUUACUCAAUGUUUACUGCAGGAGGAAGCUUCAUUUUUAAUAUCACCUUAGAAACGUGAACUCGUUCAUAGUCUUGAGGGCUAGCAAGCACGUCAGCUGUCUCUGGUAUCUGGCCCAAAGGUUGCCAGGUGCGUUGCUCCUCCCUGGAGGAACUUUGCAGAUUAGGUAAUGUGCUGUGAGCCAUGGACCUAGACUGUUCUGAACAGCGAUGUAACGUUGGACAAAUCUCUGUGCGGGUUUCCUCAGCUGUAAGAUGUAAAUCACAAUAGUAUCUCAUGGGGUGACUGGAUUAAACUGCACAUGUAGCAAUAUGGUCUGUAUUGUUACAUUGUUGCUUUUUAUCUUUAAGAUGUUUUCAGGUCCCUACCCUCAAAUGCUGGAGAUUGAACCCAGGACCUCACAAAGUUUGGAUUCUGUAACAAUUACACCCAGCCUGGCAUUUGUUUUUGUUGUUUGGAGACAGUUUGAGUUUCCUUUUGUUGUUAAGGAUCAAC